CGGGGCGUAGCGCAGUUUGGUAGCGCACUACUUUGGGGUAGUAGGGGUCGUGGGUUCAAAUCCCGCCGCUCCGA
This 74-nucleotide transfer RNA is filed under the name Cyanobacteria bacterium QH_1_48_107. Its description in RNAcentral is "tRNA-Pro". It matches the Rfam family "tRNA". Rfam says of the family: Transfer RNA (tRNA) molecules are approximately 80 nucleotides in length. Their secondary structure includes four short double-helical elements and three loops (D, anti-codon, and T loops). RNAcentral also lists the same sequence under 23 other names. The record is from RNAcentral. Lineage: Bacteria; Bacillati; Cyanobacteriota.